This 476-nucleotide ribosomal RNA is filed under the name uncultured bacterium. RNAcentral's name for it is "bacterial SSU rRNA". It matches the Rfam family "Bacterial small subunit ribosomal RNA", at positions 32 to 517 of the family's 1533-position model. The record is from RNAcentral.
AAUCAACGCUGGCGGCGUGCCUCAGACAUGCAAGUCGAACGAUUAAAGCUCUCUUCGGAGAGUGCAUAGAGUGGCGCACGGGUGAGUAACACGUAAGUAAUCUACCUUCGAGUGGGGAAUAACAGUCGGAAACGACUGCUAAUACCGCAUAAUGCAGCGGCAUCGCAAGAUGACAGUUGUUAAAGGAGCAAUUCGCUUGAAGAGGAGCUGCGGCAGAUUAGCUUGUUGGUAAGGUAACGGCUUACCAAGGCUACGAUCUGUAACCGGUCUAAGAGGACGGUCGGUCACACUGACACUGAAUAACGGGUCAGACUCCUACGGGAGGCAGCAGUCGGGAAUUUUGGGCAAUGGGCGAAAGCCUGACCCAGCAACGCCGCGUGAAGGAUGAAGUAUUUCGGUAUGUAAACUUCGAAAGAAUGGGAAGAAUCAAUGACGGUACCAUUUAUAAGGUCCGGCUAACUACGUGCCAGCAGCCG